This 487-nucleotide ribosomal RNA is filed under the name uncultured bacterium. RNAcentral's name for it is "bacterial SSU rRNA". It matches the Rfam family "Bacterial small subunit ribosomal RNA", at positions 30 to 507 of the family's 1533-position model. The record is from RNAcentral.
UUGAACGCUGGCGGCAUGCCUAACACAUGCAAGUCGAACGGCAGCACAGCAGUAGCAAUACUGUGGGUGGCGAGUGGCGGACGGGUGAGGAAUACGUCGGAAUCUGCCCAGUCGUGGGGGAUAACUAGCCGAAAGGUUAGCUAAUACCGCAUACGACCGAGAGGUGAAAGCGGGGGACCGCAAGGCCUCGCGCGAUUGGAUGAGCCGACGUCGGAUUAGCUAGUUGGCGGGUAAAGGCCCACCAAGGCGACGAUCCGUAGCUGGUCUGAGAGGAUGAUCAGCCACACUGGAACUGAGACACGGUCCAGACUCCUACGGAGGCAGCAGUGGGGAAUAUUGGACAAUGGGCGCAAGCCUGAUCCAGCAAUGCCGCGUGUGUGAAGAAGGCCUUCGGGUUGUAAAGCACUUUUAUCAGGAACGAAAAGCGUUGGAUUAAUACUCUGACGUGCUGACGGUACCUGAGGAAUAAGCACCGGCUAACUUCGUG